UUAGUGGCGGACGGGUGAGUAACGCGUGGGUAACCUGCCUUACACAGGGGGAUAACACUUAGAAAUAGGUGCUAAAACCGCAUAAGCGCACAGCUUCGCAUGAAGCGGUGUGAAAAACUCCGGUGGUGUAAGAUGGACCCGCGUCUGAUUAGCUAGUUGGUGAGGUAACGGCCCACCAAGGCGACGAUCAGUAGCCGGCCUGAGAGGGUGGACGGCCACAUUGGGACUGAGACACGGCCCAAACUCCUACGGAAGGCAGCAG
This 262-nucleotide ribosomal RNA is filed under the name uncultured bacterium. Its description in RNAcentral is "partial 16S ribosomal RNA". It matches the Rfam family "Bacterial small subunit ribosomal RNA", at positions 92 to 354 of the family's 1533-position model. The record is from RNAcentral.